Molecule: ribosomal RNA, 301 nt
Filed under: uncultured bacterium
Lineage: Bacteria
Description: partial 16S ribosomal RNA
Rfam family: Bacterial small subunit ribosomal RNA
Source: RNAcentral
CAGCAGCCACGGGAAUACGAAGGGGGCUAGCGUUGUUCGGAUUUACUGGGCGUAAAGGGCGCGUAGGCGGACUGAUAAGUCAGGGGUGAAAUCCCAAGGCUCAACCUUGGAACUGCCUUUGAUACUGUUUGUCUUGAGUUCGAGAGAGGUAAGUGGAACUGCGAGUGUAGAGGUGAAAUUCGUAGAUAUUCGCAAGAACACCAGUGGCGAAGGCGGCUUACUGGCUCGAUACUGACGCUGAGGCGCGAAAGCGUGGGGAGCAAACAGGAUUAGAGACCCCCGUAGUCCCUGUCUCUUAUAC